RNAcentral lists this ribosomal RNA (520 nucleotides) under uncultured Glomus. RNAcentral describes it as "SSU rRNA". It matches the Rfam family "Eukaryotic small subunit ribosomal RNA", at positions 569 to 1090 of the family's 1831-position model. Lineage: Eukaryota; Fungi; Glomeromycota; Glomeromycetes; Glomerales; Glomeraceae. The record is from RNAcentral.
AGCAGCCGCGGUAAUUCCAGCUCCAAUAGCGUAUAUUAAAGUUGUUGCAGUUAAAAAGCUCGUAGUUGAAUUUCGGGAUCAAUUAAUUGGUCGUGCCUCUGGUACGUACUGAUUUUAUUGGUUUCUCCCUUCUGAAGAAUCAUGAUGUCAUUAAUUUGGUGUCGUGGAGAAUCAGGACUGUUACUUUGAAAAAAUUAGAGUGUUUAAAGCAAGCUAACGCUUGAAUACAUUAGCAUGGAAUAAUGAAAUAGGACGUUUGAUCCUAUUUUGUUGGUUUCUAGGAUCGACGUAAUGAUUAAUAGGGAUAGUUGGGGGCAUUAGUAUUCAAUUGUCAGAGGUGAAAUUCUUGGAUUUAUUGAAGACUAACUACUGCGAAAGCAUUUGCCAAGGAUGUUUUCAUUAAUCAAGAACGAAAGUUAGGGGAUCGAAGACGAUCAGAUACCGUCGUAGUCUUAACCAUAAACUAUGCCGACUAGGGAUCGGAUGAUGUUAAUUUUUUAAUGACUCAUUCGGCGCCUUA